RNAcentral lists this non-coding RNA (240 nucleotides) under Clostridium sp. RNAcentral describes it as "T-box sequence". It matches the Rfam family "T-box leader". From Rfam's summary of the family: Uncharged tRNA acts as the effector for transcription antitermination of genes in the T-box leader family. T-boxes are found upstream of many aminoacyl-tRNA synthetase genes and some amino acid biosynthetic genes usually in Gram-positive bacteria. Lineage: Bacteria; Bacillati; Bacillota; Clostridia; Eubacteriales; Clostridiaceae. The record is from RNAcentral.
AAUUAAGCUAUGAAGAGAUGAGUAAAUAAUUAUUUUUCCUACAGAGAGCUAGAUAAGGUGAAAGCUAGUGUUAAAAGAGUUAUUGAAUAUGGUCUUGGAGCUAUUUUAUCCGAAUAGUAGAUUAAUAUCUAUUUUUAAGAUAAAACGGAUGGACUCGUUAUCGUCUUUUGAGAUAUCUAAUAUAAUAUUUUUUAUUAGAUAAAGUUAGGGUGGUACCGCGAAUAUAACCUCGCCCCUAUG